GUGCUUGCUUUGGCAGCACAUAUACUAAAAUUCAAACAAUACGGAGAAGAUUAGCAUGGCCCCUGUGCAAGGAUGACAUACAAAUUAAUGAAGGGUUCCAAUUAAAA
Molecule: small nuclear RNA, 107 nt
Organism: Nomascus leucogenys (northern white-cheeked gibbon)
Lineage: Eukaryota; Metazoa; Chordata; Mammalia; Primates; Hylobatidae
Source: Ensembl